AUCCUUGUAGCUCAGCGGAAGAGCAGCGGAAUCCUAGUCCGCAUGUCCCGUGUUCGAAUCACGGCAGGGAUGCCA
Molecule: transfer RNA, 75 nt
Filed under: Sulfuritalea sp.
Lineage: Bacteria; Pseudomonadati; Pseudomonadota; Betaproteobacteria; Nitrosomonadales; Sterolibacteriaceae
Description: tRNA-Arg
Rfam family: tRNA
About the family: Transfer RNA (tRNA) molecules are approximately 80 nucleotides in length. Their secondary structure includes four short double-helical elements and three loops (D, anti-codon, and T loops). Further hydrogen bonds mediate the characteristic L-shaped molecular structure. tRNAs have two regions of fundamental functional importance: the anti-codon, which is responsible for specific mRNA codon recognition, and the 3' end, to which the tRNAs corresponding amino acid is attached (by aminoacyl-tRNA synthetases). tRNAs cope with the degeneracy of the genetic code in two manners: having more than one tRNA (with a specific anti-codon) for a particular amino acid; and 'wobble' base-pairing, i.e. permitting non-standard base-pairing at the 3rd anti-codon position.
Source: RNAcentral